Molecule: ribosomal RNA, 253 nt
Filed under: uncultured bacterium
Lineage: Bacteria
Description: partial 16S ribosomal RNA
Rfam family: Bacterial small subunit ribosomal RNA
Source: RNAcentral
UACGUAGGGGGCAAGCGUUAAUCGGAAUUACUGGGCGUAAAGCGCGCGUAGGUGGUUCGUUAAGUUGGAUGUGAAAUCCCCGGGCUCAACCUGGGAACUGCAUUCAAAACUGACGAGCUAGAGUAUGGUAGAGGGUGGUGGAAUUUCCUGUGUAGCGGUGAAAUGCGUAGAUAUAGGAAGGAACACCAGUGGCGAAGGCGACCACCUGGACUGAUACUGACACUGAGGUGCGAAAGCGUGGGGAGCAAACAGG